CACAAGGCUGCUCGAGUAGGGCCUUUGUCAGUCAGAGCUGCACUCCUGCUCCAUGACACACACAUGCUCCAAGCACAGCGAGUGCUGCCAGCCCCUGCCCCCUGCAGCACAACCCACCAUCUCAGCUCCAGUGCAGCAUUUUUGGUCAAAGCUGGAUCAAAUAUUGAUGCUUCAGACCACAGGCAUUGUUAGAGCACACUGACCAUUGUAUACGAUCUGCCUCAUCUCCAAACUGCAAACCAAAUGUGCUACUAGAAGAAAAGUCUGCAGCUGUGACUUACAGAAUAUAUGAUGGAAAUUUGUAGGACUUCUGGGACUGAAAAAUCAGGCUGUGCAGAUCAGUGACCCUGCAGUCACUGCCUGAAGCACCCCAUUACAACUGAGUCACUUGAAGAUUUGAUCUCACAAGUGGUUCUUCACAUGCUCUUGCUUUUCAGCAUGUGCUGCUUUCUCCAGCCAGUUUUCCAUGCUGAGCUUUAUCCCCAUCUUGGUAGCUGGUUAAAAAGACUGAGGCACAGAGAGCUCAGUGCUACAAGCCACAUGGCCUUGACCUUUGCAGAGGAUGUACUCAAGAUUCAUGCUUGGCCAAGAAAGGCCCUGUGCUGCUCAGAAAGAAACAAGAUGAUCCGACAUCUGGGGCGACU
RNAcentral lists this long non-coding RNA (644 nucleotides) under Manacus vitellinus (golden-collared manakin). RNAcentral describes it as "lncRNA (ENSMVIG00005018262.1)". Lineage: Eukaryota; Metazoa; Chordata; Aves; Passeriformes; Pipridae. The record is from RNAcentral.